RNAcentral lists this long non-coding RNA (1367 nucleotides) under Anas platyrhynchos platyrhynchos (common mallard). RNAcentral's name for it is "lncRNA (ENSAPLG00000017949.1)". The record is from RNAcentral. Lineage: Eukaryota; Metazoa; Chordata; Aves; Anseriformes; Anatidae.
UGAAACCAAAUCUGAUCAAAAGAGAAAGUGUUCAUAUUUAUCAAGGAACUGUAUUUGUCACAGAAGUUCUGGUGAAAAAAGAAAAAUGUUUUAUUGUUGUGUUAAGAUAAGGAAUGAGGACAUGUCAGCAGAACUGGCACCAUCCCAUGGGAUGUAUCUGUUUGCAGCAGCAGGCAUUUCCCUCACAGCUGCCUUUCAGCAGAAAGUCCUUGACCAGCUGUAGGAGAAAGUGAGCUCCAGCCAAUGCCCUGUGCGAUCAUUCAAACGAUUUCCCCCAGGGCACUGCAGGAUUUAAGAGAAGAGGUGAAUGAUACGUAGACGUGGACAGACACAAAGAUGCAGAAGAGGCUGCUCUCCAUGAGGAGACGGCCUCACCAUGAUCUUUGCAGCCACCACUGCAGAGAGCAUCACCGUGGGCAGGUCUCAGAGAGGAUGAUGAGAUGCCAGUGGGAGCUGAUUUACUGUGGAUUUAUUCAAACAAAAAGGGCCAGCUCUUCAGGAAGAACAGAUACAUCAGCCAAAAUGAUCCAUCUAUUUUCAGCUUUAUUUCAGAGCAGCUUUCAGUGGGCGCCGGUAAGUAGAUCCUGGCUGAAGUUAAACACAGCAAACCCACCCUGUGAGCUCGGGGUGCUGCUCACCUUGCUCUGCUCCAGCCCACAGAAAGAGUAUCUGUAAUAUUCAGGAAAUUAUGCCCUUCUCCUUGGCUGGGCUCAUCCCGAGAUCAAGCUGUAAAGGUACAUCCUACCGUGCAGAGCUUGUCUUUUGGCAGAAAGAGAGAGAGGAGACAGAAACAGCCCAGAGCCCACAGACAAAGGGAACACCAGGAGCCAUUCUGCAGGCAGAGGCUGCUCUGCUCUUGGCCACGUUCACAUGGAUAAAGGAGACCAAGUCAGAGCCUGCAAAGCUGCGCAGUGAUAAGAAAAAAAUAUUAUAAUGCUGUUCUGCAGGCUGGGCUGGGCCGUGAUUAUAUGGCAGUUCGUCCAGCACGGUUCCCCAGGGCCAAGAUGCAGUUAGUAACCCUUCACUUAGACUCCUGGCUUCUCUGCAGAGCCACAAGAGCAGCUGAUAACACCCUGGCAGCCCCAGCCGUGGGCAGUUUUGUGCGGCGCAAUGGUGAGCCGAGCAUCUAGUUGGGCUGCUUGUCCUUUGGGAGGAGGCCGGGCCAGCAGCGCAGCACGGCGAGAGAUGAUGGCAAUGUCCCUGCUCUGGUGUGGAUCCACCUUUUGGUCCUGGGCAAGUCAGCCAGCUGCUGCCUCAGUCCCAGGAGGCAUCAGGAGGAUUUUUGCUGCCAGGACGUCAGCGCCCAAGGAAGGCGAGUCCCGAUGGCAAAGCUGGAGCAAAGCUGGCGGUGGUGGCCAGCUCUUGGG